Molecule: ribosomal RNA, 377 nt
Filed under: uncultured eukaryote
Lineage: Eukaryota
Description: partial 18S ribosomal RNA
Rfam family: Eukaryotic small subunit ribosomal RNA
Source: RNAcentral
CAGUAGCGUAUAUUAAAGUUGUUGCAGUUAAAAAGCUCGUAGUUGGAUUUCGGGUGGGAAUGGCCGGUCCGCCGUUUCGGUGUGCACUUGCUACGCCCACCUUGCUGCCGGGGACGUGCUCUUGAGUUCACGCUCGGGACACGGAGUCGGCGAGGUUACUUUGAGUAAAUUAGAGUGUUCAAAGCAGGCCUACGCUCUGAAUACAUUAGCAUGGAAUAACACGAUAGGACUCUGGCCUAUCUUGUUGGUCUGUAGGACCGGAGUAAUGAUUAAGAGGGACAGUCGGGGGCAUUCGUAUUUCAUUGUCAGAGGUGAAAUUCUUGGAUUUAUGAAAGACGAACUACUGCGAAAGCAUUUGCCAAGGAUGUUUUCAUUAA